UUAGAAACGACAAAUACCCACCAUUUGCUUCAACGUGGAUGGAACUGGAGGGUAUUAUGCUGAGUGAAUCCUUGCAGGCAUUCCUGUUUACAAAGUGAGUUCCAGACUCUGGAUUCCAGAGAUGGCCAACCUGAGGAACCCCUUCUCACAGAACUAUUUGGCGCCAGCCACCAAUCUGCAUGAAUCUCAAUGUGUGACACUUAGUUAAAUGACAGCAAAGGUUGAAACAAAAUGUGUGGCGCCGGACCAUGGAAUGUGUCUGUGUCAUUUGAACCACAUGUGGAAUGAGACUAGCUGGAAGGAAAAAAAAAUGUUGGUAACUCAGGUAUACUGUGUUUUUCUGAAAUGAUUUACUAAGAAAGGUACAGUG
Long non-coding RNA from Nyctereutes procyonoides (raccoon dog), 370 nucleotides. RefSeq lists it as uncharacterized. Lineage: Eukaryota; Metazoa; Chordata; Mammalia; Carnivora; Canidae. The record is from RefSeq and is a predicted model, not a curated record. The transcript has 3 exons.